Long non-coding RNA from Coffea arabica (coffee), 1356 nucleotides. RefSeq lists it as uncharacterized. The record is from RefSeq and is a predicted model, not a curated record. Lineage: Eukaryota; Viridiplantae; Streptophyta; Magnoliopsida; Gentianales; Rubiaceae.
UCUCUGUCCAAGCAAGCCCCUCCUAGCUCCUUGCUAGAGAGCGCGAACUUUCCUAGGAUCUCAGCCAGAUCCUCAGCCAUGGAGUCCCUGAGAGAUCCUUGGGUAUUCCACCAACCAAGAGUAGCCGAGCACUAUGUUACUGACUGGGGCUGUAGAAGAAAGCAGAGAUACGAAACUACCGAACCUAUACAGAGAAAGAAGUAAAGAAAGACGAAAAGCAGAAAAGAAAAGCACAAGGAAAGCUAAACACAAGGUAGGAGACCCAGCAAAAUUAUCGCGUGCGUAAAGUAGAUGUUUCAUGCAUCAAAGUUCCUUAUGCUUUAAUUCGGAGAAGGAAACUGAUUUUGGUUUGUGUUUGCUUCAGACGUAGAAGUUUAGAAGUUUGAGGUUUUGGGAUUUGAAGUUUGAAAUUUUGAAAAAGGUGUGACUUUUUCAGCGCUCCCACCAAAAGGGAGAGCAGCUCUCAAUGAAGAGAGAGAAAGCUCUCAUAAGAGAGAGAUCUCAAAAAUUGGGUUAGAGAUCCACCGAAGUGGGUAGCCUUAACCGGAUGUGUUGGUAACAGGUAAAGCCCGAAGGCUGUUCCCGUCCCUGUCGGGGGAGAUGCCAACCAUCUCUCCUUUCUACGAACACAGGAUUAUGAUGUGUUUUGUAAUGCAAGAUUGGAUGUUUUUCAAGGAAGCCUUUGCUUGCUUCGUCACCAAGAUCAUGAAGACACGGAAGUAUCAAGUGUGGGUUGUGAUUUGUGAAGGAUUAUGGAAUCAGAAAGUCUUGGAGUAAGAAGUUCUGCAUCCCACGUAAUAGAUCCCCAAGGCAUAUGGUCUCUAAACUUGUCUGUUUCUUAGAACACAAUGAAGUUUUAGUGAUCUGUCGAUCGAAUUUGGCAUUUCACAAUGUUAAGGAUAAUUGCUUCAGGGAUGUCCUGUUUAGGACAUUUGAUGCCUGUGUUUAUGCUGAAAGUCUGAUUUCACCAACUGCUAAUAAUGGAUUUGAGAGGCCCCAGCUGCAAGGCAGGCUAAAAAACAAAGAUGAGAUCAUUGGAUGUUAGUUUAAGCACUAUAACCAAGUUCUGGUUGUUAAUUCCCUUACUUCGAGAAUGGCCUUUUCUUCGGGUCUCAACAUGCGCUGAGAAAGCUGGAGUUGAGAUUGGCUUUCACAAGAUUUGACAGAUAGGCUGCUGCAAGGAGUUUUGGCUUGCUUCUGCAAAGAACCUCAUUUAUAUGAUCUAUAGAAUGAAGGUUGAUAAUUUCUUUUUCUCAUUGUUCAUAGAAUUGGCACUAAUGAUCUGAAGAUUGAAAGUUAUAUUGUUUUGGGUAUGGAAUUAGCUCUGCAAAAUAGUCAUAAUUGUGUGGAUGGCUA